This 253-nucleotide ribosomal RNA is filed under the name uncultured bacterium. RNAcentral describes it as "partial 16S ribosomal RNA". It matches the Rfam family "Bacterial small subunit ribosomal RNA", at positions 524 to 776 of the family's 1533-position model. The record is from RNAcentral.
UACGUAGGGUGCAAGCGUUGUUCGGAAUUACUGGGCGUAAAGGGCGCGUAGGCGGCCUACUAAGUCAGACGUGAAAUCCCCCGGCUUAACCUGGGAACUGCGUCUGAUACUGGAAGGCUUGAGUAUGGGAGAGGGAUGUAGAAUUCCAGGUGUAGCGGUGAAAUGCGUAGAUAUCUGGAGGAAUACCGGUGGCGAAGGCGGCAUCCUGGACCAUUACUGACGCUGAGGCGCGAAAGCUAGGGGAGCAAACGGG